GCUUAACGCGAAGAACCUUACCCACCUUUGACAUGGCAGGAACUUACCAGAGAUGGUUUGGUGCUCGAAAGAGAACCUGCACACAGGUGCUGCAUGGCUGUCGUCAGCUCGUGUCGUGAGAUGUUGGGUUAAGUCCCGCAACGAGCGCAACCCUUGCCAUUAGUUGCUACAUUCAGUUGAGCACUCUAAUGGGACUGCCGGUGACAAACCGGAGGAAGGUGGGGAUGACGUCAAGUCCUCAUGGCCCUUAUAGGGUGGGGCUACACACGUCAUACAAUGGCUGGUACGAAAGGGUUGCCAACCCGCGAGGGGGAGCUAAUCCCAUAAAGCCAGUCGUAGUCCGGAUCGCAGUCUGCAACUCGACUGCGUGAAGUCGGAAUCGCUAGUAAUCGUGGAUCAGAAUGUCACGGUGAAUACGUUCCCGGGUCUUGUACACACCG
Molecule: ribosomal RNA, 440 nt
Filed under: uncultured bacterium
Lineage: Bacteria
Description: bacterial SSU rRNA
Rfam family: Bacterial small subunit ribosomal RNA
Source: RNAcentral